CGCCCCAGUCUGGCCACCAGCGCUGGGCGAACCCGGCUGGGGUGUCACUCGACGCCCACUAGGGGCCGAGGAACUUCCAGUGCGCAGGCUCCGGGCACCGGAUAAAAGCGGAGCUGGCGGGUCCAGCGCCGUCUCGAUGGAGGAGCGAAACUGAAGAGUUCGGGGGGAGAAGCAACAGAAAACAUGCAGUCACUGCCAGCGCCGCCUCCCUGCCACCGUGUAUCGGGGGCCAAGAGGAGUCAAAGCAGUCUGCUGGAGGAUGCUGCCAUUUUACCCUGCACCAGCUCCUCAGCCCUAUCAGCCCGAACUCGAACUCUACUAAUGUACCAAUCAGCAUUUCCUGGUUUUAUCUAAUCUCUUCUAUUUGCUCCACCCUCUGAGAAGGAAAUAGGAAAACAGAUUUGCAGAAGUUGGUAAAAUCUAGUGUCAGAAGGCAGGGUUCCAUUUCUAGAUCCAAGAAAAACUUCCUGUUUUGUUAAGACUUUUCUUAAGAGCGGAAACUAGCUCUCUCAAAUGAAAACCACAAUUAAUAAUUCGCUAAUGUGUACUGUGUAUUUAGCAAGCCUAAAAUACAAGAGGGGAUUGGUGAAGAGAAACCAUCAGCUGAACGCCCCCAACUGAGCAGAGUUCCUCCUCACUUCCCCACCACCACUGCCUGAAGGAACAGGGACAACUAGGGGAGUAGAAAAGCAUUUGGGACAACCUGGCAAAGUAACCCAGCAAAGCCUCAGUGGUCACUCAAGGACUGUGUUACUCAGAUUGCUCAUCCUUUAUCCAGAUGGAAUUAAGUUUUUACAAAACAAAACAGAAAAGCCGCUGUGUUGGCCUACAAAUUAACCCCAGGAUUGGUUCAACACAUGAAGUUUAUGUCUUGCUUUCCUUAUGUAACCAAUACAGCUGGUGGUGGAGUAGGAAGUAGAGACAAGAGGAUUCUAUUCAAGAGCCCUGGAUGACAGACAUUUGGAGCUGUAUUACUAGAGCUUAAGACCUCCACCAUCCUGGCAAUAGAAGAAGAAAAUACAUGGAGAAUUCACACCUGCACUUCUGUGCUUCAGCCUGGAAGUGACAGUUUCUCAGUGGUUAUAAAAACAAACAGGGGGCUGGAUAGAUGGGAAAGCAUAUAAAUAUUUGGUAAGUAAUAAAUACCUCUUCCCUAGCAUCCUUUGGGGGUUGGGGAAAGUGCAAACUGGGGAUUGAACCCAGGAGCUUUCUACCACUGGGCUAUAGCUCCAGCCCUUUUUGAGACAGGGUCUCACUAGGUUGCCUAGCUUGUCCCCAAAUUUGUGAUCCUCCUGCUUCGGCCUCUGGAGUUGCUGGAGUUUCAGAUGUGCACCACUAUGUC
RNAcentral lists this long non-coding RNA (1342 nucleotides) under Ictidomys tridecemlineatus (thirteen-lined ground squirrel). Its description in RNAcentral is "lncRNA (ENSSTOG00000032536.1)". The record is from RNAcentral. Lineage: Eukaryota; Metazoa; Chordata; Mammalia; Rodentia; Sciuridae.